This 290-nucleotide long non-coding RNA is filed under the name Homo sapiens (human). Its description in RNAcentral is "HSALNT0203897". Lineage: Eukaryota; Metazoa; Chordata; Mammalia; Primates; Hominidae. The record is from RNAcentral.
GCUCAUAUCUGUAAUCCCAGCACUACCAGAGGCCAAGGUGGGCAGACGGUUUGAGCCUAGGAAUUUGAGACCAGCCUUGGCAACAUGGCAAAGACCCAUUUCUACAAAAACAAAAAACAUAAAAAUUAGCCAGGUGUGAUAGCACACGCCUAUAGUCCCAGCUACUCGGGAGGCUGAGAGGUGGGAGGAUCACUUGAGCCUCAUUACACAGAAGCCAGUUGAAAGCCUGAAGAAAUGACGGUUAAAUGAGUUCAAGAAUAAAAUACAUGAGUUUAAAAAGUACUCAGAAA